RNAcentral lists this ribosomal RNA (413 nucleotides) under uncultured bacterium. Its description in RNAcentral is "bacterial SSU rRNA". It matches the Rfam family "Bacterial small subunit ribosomal RNA", at positions 505 to 916 of the family's 1533-position model. The record is from RNAcentral.
GUGUCAGCCGCCGCGGUAAAACGUAGGUCCCGAGCGUUGUUCGGAUUCACUGGGUGUAAAGGGCGCGUAGGUGGUUGUCUGUGUCUCAUGUGAAAACUCAGGGCUCAACUCUGAGAUGGCGUGGGAAACUAGGCAGCUAGAGGACGGUAGAGGGGAGUGGAAUUCCCGGUGUAGCGGUAAAAUGCGUAGAUAUCGGGAGGAACACCGGUGGCGAAGGCGGCUUACUGGACAUUAACUGACGCUGAUGCGCGAAAGCUAGGGUAGCGAACCGGAUUAGAUACCCGGGUAGUCCUAGCCGUAAACGAUGGGUGCUAGGUGUUGGGGGGUAAAGACCCUUCAGUGCCGAAGCUAACGCGAUAAGCAUCCCACCUGGGGAGUACGGCCGCAAGGUUGAAACUCAAAUAAAUUGACGG